Small nuclear RNA from Heteronotia binoei (common prickly gecko), 104 nucleotides. The record is from RefSeq and is a predicted model, not a curated record. Lineage: Eukaryota; Metazoa; Chordata; Lepidosauria; Squamata; Gekkonidae.
AUGCUUCAGCAGCACAUAUACUAAAAUUGGAAUGAUACAAAGUAGAUUAUCAUGGCCCCUGUGCAAGGAUGACUUGCUGAUGCAAUUAUACCAUGCUGAGGUUG